Molecule: long non-coding RNA, 287 nt
Filed under: Prunus persica (peach)
Lineage: Eukaryota; Viridiplantae; Streptophyta; Magnoliopsida; Rosales; Rosaceae
Description: long non-coding RNA (PPER_LNC004650)
Source: RNAcentral
UGAAAUCCAAUGGCUAAAACUGUAAAGUGCACCAACCACUCCAAUUCAGAACGAACUUCGUACGAACUUGAAUUGUCUAAUUUCAUAGACCAAUCGAUAUCGGAUUGAGGCCAAAACCUGGGGAACAUAAUAAUAUUGUGGGAGGUGUGAUUUGGUGGGUUUUGAGUGAAAUCCAAUCUCUAGAACGAUGCAAUACACCAACCACUCCAUUUCAUCACGAACUUCGUACAAACCUGAAUUGUCAAAUUUCAUGGACCAAUCGUUAUCGGAUUGAGUCUAAAACUUGG